GGAGUUCUUGCUUUGCAGCAUCAAGUUCAAUAAAUACAGCCAUAUACUGUUCCCUGGCAGACUCCAAGUCCUGCUUCCUAGCACCAUCAGAUCCAGAAGCAUCACCAUUCUUUGCUCCUUCAAUUUCCUUUGCCUGAUUUUUAGCAGUUUCUGUUGCCUUAAUCGCUGAAUCUUUAGAUUCAAUGAUGUUUCUGAGUUUUUGGGUCAGAUCGUCGACUGUUCUUUUAGCCUUUUCAAGUUCAACUAGUGCUUGGGCCUUAGUUGUCUCAGCAUUCUUCAGUUGAUCCUUUAACUUGUUCAGCUCCUUCUGGGCCACGUGAAGCUGUGUCUCCUUGGCCAAAACUCUCUCUGCAUGAGGUUUUGCCUUCUUGAUGGCUGGUUUUUCUCCUGAGAAAGAGCCUUCACCAAAGAGCGUGACAGCAUCCUUAACAGAUUGAAAUGGUGCGCUAGUAUCAAUCUCUCCCACUACUUUAGAAGAAUCAGUAGCACUUUGACCUUCUUUUGCACCCAUACCACUUAAUUAAUUUAUAUUCUCAAAAUAUCACCCAACUAAACCCUAAUCAAGCUCCAGUGAGAAAAACCAAACGGUCAAAAUGAACAAUCUUGACAUCAUCACUCAAUUUGGAAAAGAGAAACGAUUGUUGAUCACCUUCUUCAUGAUCUCAUCGAUGUCAAGAAAAAAAGGGAAAGAAAAAACCUUUUAACCUUAUGACACAAAGAAUCAAACCCACCAAGGAAUCC
Molecule: unclassified non-coding RNA, 741 nt
Filed under: Hevea brasiliensis (rubber tree)
Lineage: Eukaryota; Viridiplantae; Streptophyta; Magnoliopsida; Malpighiales; Euphorbiaceae
Source: RNAcentral